UACGUAGGUGACAAGCGUUGUCCGGAUUUACUGGGCGUAAAGAGCGCGCAGGCGGUCGAUCAAGUCGAGUGUGAAAGCCCCCGGCUCAACUGGGGAGGGUCAUUCGAUACUGAUCGACUCGAAGGCAGGAGAGGGUAGUGGAAUUCCCGGUGUAGUGGUGAAAUGCGUAGAUAUCGGAAGGAACAUCAGUGGCGAAGGCGACUUCCUGGACCAAUACUGACGCUCAGGUGCGAAAGCGUGGGGAGCAAACAGG
RNAcentral lists this ribosomal RNA (253 nucleotides) under uncultured bacterium. Its description in RNAcentral is "partial 16S ribosomal RNA". It matches the Rfam family "Bacterial small subunit ribosomal RNA", at positions 524 to 776 of the family's 1533-position model. The record is from RNAcentral.